Molecule: long non-coding RNA, 437 nt
Organism: Anastrepha obliqua
Lineage: Eukaryota; Metazoa; Arthropoda; Insecta; Diptera; Tephritidae
Exons: 2
Source: RefSeq, a predicted model, not a curated record
GGCGCGGUAGUUUGUACGAACGCAAUGGGCCAGCUCGGUGCUUUCUCGAAUAUAGAUUUCAUUUUUGGAUACUCAAGAGCUGCUUUUCUUGUGCUGUAUUUCUUCAGAUUUACACUUGCACUAAAAAGUCAUUCUUUCGAUACGUAAUUUCCGGAAAUUAUCACCUUUGCCAGAAAAUAGGAUCGAUAUUUAGUUGUUAUGUAAUAUGUUCAUAUACAUAUGUGUGUAUUUAUAACUUCUUCUUUUUGAUUGAGGCGAUAACUUGGCGCAGAAUUUCGUCUUUCCAAAAUAAACAUGGCCAGAAAGCAUAAAUAUCGUGUGAAUAUUAUUGCAUACACAUGUACAUGUGUAUGUAUGUACAUAAAAAUGUCUAAAAAACAGAACCGAAACAAAAAAUUACGUCAGAACUUAGGAACAAAAUAAACACUCUUUACGCA